GAUGAAGAACGCAGUGAAAUGCGAUAAGUAAUGUGAAUUGCAGAAUUCAGUGAAUCAUCGAAUCUUUGAACGCACAUUGCGCCCCUUGGUAUUCCGAGGGGCAUGCCUGUUCGAGCGUCAUUUCAACCCUCAAGCACAGCUUGGUCUUGGGCUUCGCCGCUAACCCGGCGGGUCUUAAAAUCAGUGGCGGUGCCGUCGGGCCCUGAGCGCAGUAAUUUCUCUCGCUAUAGGGUCCCGGCGGAUGCUGGCCAGUAACCCCCAAUUUUCUAUGGUUGACCUCGGAUCAGGUAGGGAUACCCGCUGAACUUAAGCAUAUCAAUAAGCGGAGGA
Molecule: unclassified non-coding RNA, 330 nt
Filed under: soil metagenome
Description: partial contains 5.8S ribosomal RNA, internal transcribed spacer 2, and large subunit ribosomal RNA
Rfam family: 5.8S ribosomal RNA (bases 1-120)
Source: RNAcentral